UUUCGGAGCUUCUGAGGGCGGCCUCGGAGCAUUGCAUUCAAAACGGCGAUUGAAGGAAACACCGGAGUGCCUUUUCGUUGUAGUGUGUGUUUACGAUGGCCUCGAUCUCAUAGUUGUGUGCUUUGCUGAGGUUCAAUUUCCUCUUUCAGCGGAGUCAUUCUAUCGUUCUUGUGGUGGCCGUAACGUUAGGCGCUGUUGAUAGUUUAUGAAGGCGGUAGGAUUCGAGUUUCUGUUGUGUUUUCGAGGGUUUAUGUAGAGUGCAGGGUUUUUGCAUCUAGGUUGCGUCUUGAUUUGGUGGCUAUUCUCGAGCUAUUUGCACACCUUUCUUCUUCUUAUACUUCGUCUUUCUCUAUUUAAUUUCACUUGAAUCAGUCUUUUAAUUAGAACUGUAAAAUCCAAAUUCGGGUUGGUUUUGAAUGUAAUCAGUUUUACGACGGCAAUAGUACAAUGCUGUCUUUGCAGCUGAUCAUAGUGGUUUAUUGCGGGGAAUGGAGAUCGUAGGCGUAGUUUCGGAUCUGCUGCUUUCAUUACAAGAUGACGGUCUCAGCAAGUUGAGUCAGUCUCUCUGGGAAGUGGAAGGAGGUAGUGAGAGACGUUUGCGUUUGGCUCCUCUCAAGAAGCUGACUCGUUCGUGCUUUGUUCAUACAUGUCGAUUUUGUGUAUAUAAUUUGAGUAUUUUCCAACGGUCACAUUGUAGCUCUCUCUCCGAAUCGAGUAUUUUGUUUGUCGUCACGGUGUAUUCAUUUGAUCCUUCGCUCAAGCGUAAUCUAUAUAAAUUUAUGGAGCCAUUAACUCCAGACAGCUGUUGCCUUAAAUUCCUGGGAGGGGAAAAGCCAGGACUCGGACAACAAUGAAUUUUUAAGCAAAAGUACGAUUUCGUAAUGGACAGUUGCGGGACGAAGAUUGCAAAAGUUUUGAACAAUGAUUCGUACUAGCAUUUAGACCAACUUCAAUUAUUCUUCAAAAUGCUCGCAAUGAAGUCUUCAGCAUACUCCUUGAGCGGGGGACAGAAAUAUAAACGAUCUCCGCAGAGCAGUCGAUUAUUUACAUCAUCAUCAUCGUGCAGAAAAUACAUUACGACUGGAGCGGAUGUUGUAGAAGCUGUAUGCUUUAAUUUCGGCUAAUCUGGGGGCACUUGCAUUAGGUCCAAUUUUGAGACCCUAAUCUCGGCCACCAGAGGUCAUAAAUCCCGCUUGGGCCCUCAUCGUGGCUCUCUUUGGGCUCUCAUCUCGUGGCUCUCUGUGUCCGCAACAAAUGAAGAGCUCGUUAAGAACAAAGUAAAGCUCAACUUCUGUCACGCGCACUUGGCCUGAUUCUUCGCAGACAUUAGAUAUUUUCGGAGCCUAUCCAUGCAAAGAAGUUAUUCUUUGAAAGUGGGUAAUUAAACCAUAUAGAAUCAUUUUCGUGGGUAAAACGCUCACCAUUAAUAGACUCUCAAAUUGCGUAGGUUGUUUGGACGACUCACAAGAAUACGUGACUGAAGAUUCUAGACUGAAGGCUAAAGAGAAAGCGAUGCGCACCAAAUUUUGGGGUGCAACUUGAAGAUUUCGUACCACCGUUGCAGUCACAAGUUUUGGCAGUGCUAAAAUCUGGAGAUAAUUUGUUGAGUUCAGUUUUUAUUGUCUAAUUAUUCCCAUAACCCAGCGACAAACAUGGUUUAACAAGAACCGUCGAUUCUUUCUACCCUCCAUUGCGUUUCUGCAAAUAAGUCUUGGAUUCAAGACAGUCACUUUCUCUACAUGCACAGUUACGCAUGUUUCGAUAAACGGUAUUCCAUCUGCGUUACUGAGGUUUUCGUCAGCACCAUCUUGAUGUAAGUUACGUGAGACGUAAUCAUAGAAGAUAGCAUCUUAUGUGGAGUGAAUUUCCGUAUUGAUCCUCCUGUUAGACUAGUCCUUUUGAACAUUUCAAUAAACGGUUGGAAAUCAAUUCUGGAAUUGUUGAGAAUUACUUGCGUGCAAAGUCAUUGAUGACAUUAUUCAUGAAAAAUAUAUGCAUUUAGUCAUCACAUCAGACUUGCUGUCAUUUUCAGGCUGCAUGCCAGAAAAAUCAAAAGCAGAUUAGCUCAGACCAGUGGUGGGUGAGUGUUGAAGCUUCUCUUUUCUCCUUAAAUGCUUCCAUGUCCAAAGGUGGUCAGCACUUCUAAAACAAGACUUCGAUUACCUUAAUGGUUUUGUGGGGUAAGCCACUGGAUUCUCGAGGGUCCUCUCUUCUAACGAUACCUGGAUUUAUUUCUGGAAAUAAAAGGACACAUUCUGUGAACGCAAUUCUAAGUAGUUUGCUUAAGGAAGUCAAGUACACCCGAUGUGUAAAGCAGUUCAGAUUCAACUGACUUGAGGAAAGUCCUGAGGUGAGCGCGACGUUAAGCAUUUCUCCAUUUUUCGUCUAAUGCUGAUUUGGCUUUUAGCAUUAGGUACGUGCAAUUCUGCGAUCUGUCCUUGCUUCUUAGCAUUUAUCUUCAACAUGUUUUGUGGGUAAGCUGUUCGAGUAUUCCUUAUCAUACCUGCGUGCAUAAUUAACUGAUUGCACUGCACUACGGGUAAAGUUACUCAAGAAAUCGUGAUCGUCAGCAAGAGGCCGUCUCUUCAUUCCCUCUAGAUAACUGUGUGUCCUACUUCCAGGAACAGGCUCGUGUAUUCUUUUUAUUUUAAGGUACUCAAAUUUCCAAAGUGAUCUUCAUUUAAAGCUCGUGUGUAUCAGUCCGACUUCGUUGUAUGAUGAAGCUUACUGUAGAAGAGUUAUCUGUUAUUUGUAAUGACUUUAAUAGUAAUGAAGAAAUUCUCGCCACCAAUUUUUUAGUAUCUUGUAGCACUAUCAAUACAUGUUGCAGCAGCCAGCAGUAAACGGUUUAAAAUUGCUGUUGAAAGAAUCGCAGUGAGACAGUUGUUGAGUCCAAGAAGGAUGUGAUCUGCAAAGCUGACAUCAGAUUGGUGAGUAACCCUGUUCAUGUACAUGAACCAAGGUUUCCUCAACACCAUCUAAUAGUGUUCGGGACCUCUUGAUCAACCGGUCCUCCUUUCACUGCAAAAUUCCCGAGCCUUGAAUCGUUUAUUACACUUGGACCGUGCUCAGUAAGUACACUGUCUUCACCAUUCUGAAUUCGCAGGCGAUGGUCUCGCAUAUUUACGUAGACGAGUCUGAGUUCCUGAUAUCCGGGAUGGUCAAAGGUUGAGGGAUUGUCUUAUGGGACGGUUAGACAUGGGUAAUCUCUCCCGAAGUCAUGUGUAAAUGCGAUGUUGUUGGCCAUUUUUUAAUGAUUAAGAUCCUCUCCGCUAUUUUAAGAUUUCUGCAGCAAGCAGUAGCCAUCGGUGAUGAAGAAGUCUUUGUUGCUGGAGUUGUAACCGUGCAUGUCAGUGUGGCUGAUGCCGGGUAUGUACAAGCGUUUGUAGCCCAAAGUGGGUCACUGUCUCUGCACAAUGAACAUAAUUAUGGGUGCAAUUGUUUCCGUGAGAGGACUUACUGUGAGAGUAGAGAAACAUAGGUGGGCCUCGAAGGAAAUUGCGACCAGGCUUAAAGUAGAUCAAAUCAAUUCCCUGCUAUUACGAUAUUGCUCGUCGUCAUGUUCUUCACCUCGGCUUUGCAGGAAUGCCCUUUUUUUCUUCUCUUUCAAGGUUUAAAUUUUUGUUUUUUUCAUGAAAUACAUCAACGCGGAGUGAAGCUUUCAGCGCAAUUAAUUUUGUGAUCAUGGAUAUGAUCUGACUCAUGUUAAACAUUUUCGGUUGUUAGCACUGGUAGAACAAUUUCUUGAUUAUUGGCAUUGUUUGGUGACAGUCUCUUACUAUCUGAGUAUUCAUACUGCUUACAAAGAUCAGAGUCUAGUUGGAUCCAUAGACAUAUGCGUCAUCCAUAGUCUUACUGUAUUUCUAACUUAGAUUGUAGUCUCUCACAGGAAUGGCCAUAUUAUGGAGUGGUGGGCCUCCGGAAGCAUAUACGAUUCCAUGUGAUCAACCCACUACACUUCACAAGCUACAUUGUCGGAAGAUGGACAAAAUGGUUGAGAGAUUUUGUGUCUCACGUAUUAAUUGAUUGUGGUCUGGAAGCUGGAAAUUUUAGGCAUUUAAAUGAAGGGUCUGGGAGCUGUAGAUGCAAGUGACGCGCACACCAUAAAUCGGGAGGUUCUAUGACAAUUUAGGAGGGCUUGUGGAGAGCUAUCGUUGUAGAUUCGGGACGGAGAAAUCUACUAGGGAGCUUAUAACUCUUCGUCACCCUGGCCUGAGUUUUUUGUGUACGCUUUUAAUGGUGAAGACGUUCUACCCACCAAAUCAAUGACAGGAUAUGGAUCCUUUCUGAUAAAUUUGAAUUAACUUUUGUAUCCCACA
This is a non-coding RNA of Physcomitrium patens, 4319 nucleotides long. NCBI's taxonomy places the organism in Eukaryota, Viridiplantae, Streptophyta, Bryopsida, Funariales, Funariaceae. The record is from RefSeq and is a predicted model, not a curated record.